This 32-nucleotide non-coding RNA is filed under the name Rattus norvegicus (Norway rat). Lineage: Eukaryota; Metazoa; Chordata; Mammalia; Rodentia; Muridae. The record is from RNAcentral.
UGGUGAACAUGAUGUGCCACUAGGCCUAAAUU